RNAcentral lists this ribosomal RNA (448 nucleotides) under uncultured bacterium. RNAcentral's name for it is "SSU rRNA". It matches the Rfam family "Bacterial small subunit ribosomal RNA", at positions 26 to 518 of the family's 1533-position model. The record is from RNAcentral.
AGAGCGAACGCUGGCGGCAGGCUUAACACAUGCAAGUCGAACGCUCGUAGCAAUACGGGAGUGGCAGACGGGUGAGUAACGCGUGGGAACAUGCCCUUUGGUUCGGAAUAACUCAGGGAAACUUGAGCUAAUACCGGAUAAGCCCCUUACGGGGGAAAGAUUUAUCGCCGAAGGAUUGGCCCGCGUCCGAUUAGCUAGUUGGUGAGGUAAUGGCUCACCAAGGCGACGAUCGGUAGCUGGUCUGAGAGGAUGAUCAGCCACACUGGGACUGAGACACGGCCCAGACUCCUACGGGAGGCAGCAGUGGGAAUAUUGGACAAUGGGGGCAACCCUGAUCCAGCCAUGCCGCGUGAGUGAUGAAGGCCCUAGGGUUGUAAAGCUCUUUCGACGGGGACGAUAAUGACGGUACCCGUAGAAGAAGCCCGGCUAACUUCGUGCCAGCAGCCGC